Molecule: small nucleolar RNA, 73 nt
Organism: Sceloporus undulatus (fence lizard)
Lineage: Eukaryota; Metazoa; Chordata; Lepidosauria; Squamata; Phrynosomatidae
Source: RefSeq, a predicted model, not a curated record
CUUCUAGUGAUGAUACCUUUGUCCAGUUCUGCUGCUGAAUGAUAAGCGAUGACAUUUUAUUGAUCUGAAGAAG